UGGCGAACGGGUGAGUAACGCGUGAGGAACCUGCCUCAAAGAGGGGGACAACAGUUGGAAACGACCGCUAAUACCGCAUAAGCCCACGGGUCGGCAUCGACCUGAGGGAAAAGGAGCAAUCCGCUUUGAGAUGGCCUCGCGUCCGAUUAGCUAGUUGGUGAGGUAAUGGCCCACCAAGGCGACGAUCGGUAGCCGGACUGAGAGGUUGAACGGCCACAUUGGGACUGAGACACGGCCCAG
RNAcentral lists this ribosomal RNA (240 nucleotides) under uncultured bacterium. Its description in RNAcentral is "partial 16S ribosomal RNA". It matches the Rfam family "Bacterial small subunit ribosomal RNA", at positions 96 to 334 of the family's 1533-position model. The record is from RNAcentral.